RNAcentral lists this ribosomal RNA (493 nucleotides) under uncultured bacterium. RNAcentral's name for it is "bacterial SSU rRNA". It matches the Rfam family "Bacterial small subunit ribosomal RNA", at positions 28 to 513 of the family's 1533-position model. The record is from RNAcentral.
GAUGAACGCUAGCGGCAGGCUUAACACAUGCAAGUCGAGGGGCAGCAUGAGGGUUAGCAAUAACCUUUGAUGGCGACCGGCGCAAGGGUGCGUAACGCGUGAGCAACUUGCCCGUUUCUGGGGAAUAACCGGUGGAAACGCCGACUAAUACCCCAUGGCAUCAGAUUGAGGCAUCUUAAUUGAUUAAAGAAUUUCGGAAACGGAUAGGCUCGCGUGACAUUAGCUAGAUGGCGGGGUAACGGCCCACCAUGGCUACGAUGUCUAGGGGUUCUGAGAGGAAGGUCCCCCACACUGGAACUGAGACACGGUCCAGACUCCUACGGGAGGCAGCAGUGAGGAAUAUUGGUCAAUGGUCUGACGACUGAACCAGCCAUGCCGCGUGAAGGUCACGGCCCUAUGGGUCUUAAACUUCUUUUGUAAGGGAGCAAUAAGUCUCACGUGUGGGAUGAUGAGAGUACCUUACGAAUAAGCAUCGGCUAACUCCGUGCCAGCA